This 259-nucleotide ribosomal RNA is filed under the name uncultured bacterium. RNAcentral describes it as "partial 16S ribosomal RNA". It matches the Rfam family "Bacterial small subunit ribosomal RNA", at positions 74 to 334 of the family's 1533-position model. The record is from RNAcentral.
CUUGCAAACUAAAGAUGGCGACCGGCGCACGGGUGAGUAACACGUAUCCAACCUGCCGAUAACUCGGGGAUAGCCUUUCGAAAGAAAGAUUAAUAUCCGAUAGUAUAUUAAAACCGCAUGGUUUUACUAUUAAAGAAUUUCGGUUAUCGAUGGGGAUGCGUUCCAUUAGUUUGCUGGCGGGGUAACGGCCCACCAAGACUACGAUGGAUAGGGGUUCUGAGAGGAAGGUCCCCCACAUUGGAACUGAGACACGGUCCAA